Molecule: ribosomal RNA, 465 nt
Filed under: uncultured bacterium
Lineage: Bacteria
Description: partial 16S ribosomal RNA
Rfam family: Bacterial small subunit ribosomal RNA
Source: RNAcentral
CCUACGGGAGGCAGCAGUGGGGAAUAUUGCGCAAUGGGCGAAAGCCUGAUGCAGCGACGCCGCGUGAGGGAUGAAGGUCUUCGGAUCGUAAACCUCUGUCAGCAGGGAAGAACGGUCACUGUGCUAAUCAGCAGUGAAUUGACGGUACCUGCAAAGGAAGCACCGGCUAACUCCGUGCCAGCAGCCGCGGUAAUACGGAGGGUGCGAGCGUUAAUCGGAAUUACUGGGCGUAAAGCGCUCGUAGACGGUGUGUCAAGUCAGGGGUGAAAUCCCCGCGCUCAACGUGGGAACUGCUUUUGAAACUGGCAAACUGGAGUGUGUGAGAGGAUAGUGGAAUUCCAGGUGUAGGAGUGAAAUGCGUAGAUAUCUGGAGGAACAUCAGUGGCGAAGGCGACUAUCUGGCACAUAACUGACGCUGAGGAGCGAAAGCGUGGGGAGCAAACAGGAUUAGAUACCCCAGUAGUC